This 760-nucleotide ribosomal RNA is filed under the name uncultured bacterium. Its description in RNAcentral is "bacterial SSU rRNA". It matches the Rfam family "Bacterial small subunit ribosomal RNA", at positions 33 to 788 of the family's 1533-position model. The record is from RNAcentral.
ACGCUGGCGGUAGGCCUAACACAUGCAAGUCGAGCGGUAGAGAGAAGCUUGCCUCUCUUGAGAGCGGCGGACGGGUGAGUAAUGCCUAGGAAUCUGCCUGGUAGUGGGGGAUAACGUUCGGAAACGGACGCUAAUACCGCAUACGUCCUACGGGAGAAAGCAGGGGACCUUCGGGCCUUGCGCUAUCAGAUGAGCCUAGGUCGGAUUAGCUAGUUGGUGGGGUAAUGGCUCACCAAGGCGACGAUCCGUAACUGGUCUGAGAGGAUGAUCAGUCACACUGGAACUGAGACACGGUCCAGACUCCUACGGGAGGCAGCAGUGGGGAAUAUUGGACAAUGGGCGAAAGCCUGAUCCAGCCAUGCCGCGUGUGUGAAGAAGGUCUUCGGAUUGUAAAGCACUUUAAGUUGGGAGGAAGGGUUGUAGAUUAAUACUCUGUAAUUUUGACGUUACCGACAGAAUAAGCACCGGCUAACUCUGUGCCAGCAGCCGCGGUAAUACAGAGGGUGCAAGCGUUAAUCGGAAUUACUGGGCGUAAAGCGCGCGUAGGUGGUUAGUUAAGUUGGAUGUGAAAUCCCCGGGCUCAACCUGGGAACUGCAUUCAAAACUGACUGACUAGAGUAUGGUAGAGGGUGGUGGAAUUUCCUGUGUAGCGGUGAAAUGCGUAGAUAUAGGAAGGAACACCAGUGGCGAAGGCGACCACCUGGACUGAUACUGACACUGAGGUGCGAAAGCGUGGGGAGCAAACAGGAUUAGAUACCCU